CAAAUUAUAAUUAUAGAUUAACAAAUAUAAUGAAACAUCAAUCAAAUUCAAUCAAAAUUUCAAAAUAAUUAAAUAAAAAGCCAAAAAUUACUCUUAAAAAUUCUUUAAAGAAUCAAAAAAAAAUAACAUAGAAAUUUAAAAAUAUAUUAAAAUAAAAAACUUAAUUAAAUUCUAGUCAAAUCUUAACCAAAUCCUAAACAGAUCCAAAACAAAUCGUGGUCAAAUCCUAAAUAAACUCUAGUCAAAUUCUAAUAAAUCCUAAUCAAUUUCUAGUCAAAUCUUAAAUAAAUCUUAACCAAAUCUUUAUCAAACCUUAAUCAAAUCCUAAAAAAAUCCUAAGUAUAUUUUAAUCAUAUCUUAGUCAAAUCUUAAACAAAUCCUAACCAAAUCCAAUUCAAAUUCUAAACAAAUCCUAAAUAAAACCUAAUCAAAUCUUAAAAAAAUCCUAGUCAAAUCCUAAACAAAUCAUAAAGAAAUCAUACUCAAAUCUCAACAAAUCCUAAUUAAAUUCUAAUGAAAUUCUAAUCAAAUCCUAAAUAAAUCCUAGUCAAAUCCUACUCAAAUCUUAACCAAAUCCUAGUCAAAUCCUAACAAAUCCUAAUCAAAUUAUAAUCAAAUUCUAAAUGAAUCUUAGUCAAACUUUAAACAAAUUUUUACUAAAUUCUAAUCAAACUCUAACCAAAUCCUAGUCAAAUCUUAAUAAAUC
RNAcentral lists this long non-coding RNA (706 nucleotides) under Physcomitrium patens. RNAcentral's name for it is "long non-coding RNA (PPAT_LNC012429)". The record is from RNAcentral. Lineage: Eukaryota; Viridiplantae; Streptophyta; Bryopsida; Funariales; Funariaceae.